This 467-nucleotide ribosomal RNA is filed under the name uncultured bacterium. Its description in RNAcentral is "partial 16S ribosomal RNA". It matches the Rfam family "Bacterial small subunit ribosomal RNA", at positions 29 to 507 of the family's 1533-position model. The record is from RNAcentral.
AUGCACGCUGGCGGCGUGCUUAACACAUGCAAGUCGAACGGAAAGGCCCAAGCUUGCUUGGGUACUCGAGUGGCGAACGGGUGAGUAACACGUGGGCGAUCUGCCCUGCACUUCGGGAUAAGCCUGGGAAACUGGGUCUAAUACCGGAUAGGACCACGUCUUGGAUGUUGUGGUGGAAAGUUUUUUCGGUGUGGGAUGAGCUCGCGGCCUAUCAGCUUGUUGGUGGGGUAAUGGCCUACCAAGGCGUCGACGGGUAGCCGGCCUGAGAGGGUGUACGGCCACAUUGGGACUGAGAUACGGCCCAGACUCCUACGGGAGGCAGCAGUGGGGAAUAUUGCACAAUGGGCGCAAGCCUGAUGCAGCGACGCCGCGUGGGGGAUGACGGCCUUCGGGUUGUAAACUCCUUUCGCUAGGGACGAAGCGUUUUUGUGACGGUACCUGGAGAAGAAGCACCGGCUAACUACGUG